Cinara cedri is the source of this 1013-nucleotide non-coding RNA. Lineage: Eukaryota; Metazoa; Arthropoda; Insecta; Hemiptera; Aphididae. The record is from the annotation of a GenBank genome assembly.
AUUAAUUAAUAAUAUAUUAUAUCUUUUAUCCGGAUUAAACAAAUAUAUUUUUUUCGAACUAUUUUUUAGUAAAUACGUAGAUAAUAGAUACUGUAUGUACCCAGAAGUUUCGUUUAGGGAAGGAGAGGGCAUAAGAGUGAUGAUCCCCUAGAUAUUUCGUUUUACUGUACGUGUUAAUACUUUUUUCUAAUUAUAUAUAUAAUAUGUACCUAUAUAGUAUAAUAUAUUAAAAAAUAUUGCCUCCGCCCCUAGGCAAAGUACUAAAUCCUCCGCUGUAUGUGCCUAUUGUCAUUUUUUAACAUUUUUUUUUCUCCAAUCACAGUGUAACCUUGGUAACUCACAAACGUACUUAUGUGAUGUAUAAAUUUAGAAUUGGUUCUUUUAUGUCAUUUAAAUAACCGAAACUUAUCUUUGAUCUAUUCAUAGAAAACAUUAGUUGUAUUUCGUCAACACACCGGCUAAACUGCGUAAUAUUGUAUACAAUAUCAGGCAAUGUGUAUAUUAUUAAUUGUUGUUUUCAGACGUCGAGAUAGGCAAUGUUCUUUUACGACGAAUAAUUUAUAUACAAACCCGAAAUUAUGAUAUGUCGACGUACACACGUAAAAAUGAGUAGCUAUUGGGGGUAGCCUAUAACUACCGUUACAAAAAUUGUGUUUUUUAGAAUCUCCGUUCUAACCAUUGUUGGUUAAAAGAUAAAACAUGCAGUUAUAGUACCGUGGUUAUUAUACUAGUAAACCAAAUAUUAUAGACUUAAAAUACAAAGUCUUAAUAAUAAUCUGUAGGCAUUUUUACUCGGUGGGUGGGGAUUUUUUUUAACAGUUAUUUAUGGACGACUUACCUAUAUGGCAUCAGACGGCAAUUUCUUCACGUUUGAAACUUUUGUUCGAAACUUCUCGGCACAAUGUUCCUCCACUUGAACAUUAUUUUUAAUCCUCCGGGAAUAUCGAUGUAAUAAUUCGUCUUGUGCAGGACCUUUAUAGCUAUACUCUUUUGGGAAUACUGCACUUUCUCUG